This is a long non-coding RNA of Fukomys damarensis (Damara mole-rat), 1767 nucleotides long. RefSeq lists it as uncharacterized. The record is from RefSeq and is a predicted model, not a curated record. The transcript is spliced from 5 exons. Lineage: Eukaryota; Metazoa; Chordata; Mammalia; Rodentia; Bathyergidae.
GUGCUUUGCCCAAUGCGUGAAUCUGAUCUACAAAGAAUGCUGCAGGAUGAAUGCAAAAUUUAGAAAAUUCCAAGGCGCUCAUCUUCACUCAAUCCCAGAGUGUCAGAGGAAAAGAAGAAAUUAUAGAGAAAAAAACUUCUUGAUCUGGUAAAGAAUAAAGAUAACACAAACACAGAAGCUACCCUGAAACGGUUAGAAAAGCACAUGUUAGAAAUCAAGGAGGCCUUGAAGAAUUUGUAAGUUGCCAAGUCCCUUGUAAGCUGCAGUUCCCGAAGUACAAGUCAUCUGCUUUCCAGGAGCUCGUGCCCCCAUCCACCCCUGCCGACCCCACUUUCUGGAAGCAGCCACAGGUUUGGGGCCAGGCUUCUGUCCGUAUAGCAGAAUUUAAAGGAGCUUCUUCCUCUAAUCCCAGAAUUCUGGAGGCAGAGGCAGGAGGUGGUCUCGAGUUCAAGGCCAGCCUGGUCUACAUAGCGAGACCCUGUCUCAAAAACACGAAAUAAAACAAUAAAUAUGAGCUUCUUGUCCAGCAAAAGAUCCCCUGGCACCCAUCAAAAGUGCUAGAAACUUCCAUGAAUAGUGUCUGUGUGAAGCACCUUUUGGUUACCAGAAGAAAUGCUAGAGAUAAUCAAUUUAGAAAGUGAAGUUUCUUUUGGAUCACAGUUUUGGAAGUUUCAGUCCCUAAUCAGUUGGCUCCAUUGUUUUGGAACCUGUGGUAAACAGCAUAUGGCGGUAGGUGGAGGAGACAGAGCAAAAGUGCUCAGUUCAGGCACAAGAAUAAAAGCACAGAGGAAGUCAAGGAGUCCCACAAUCCCGUGGGGCCCACCCCCCAGGACCUCGAGGGCUCCCGCCAGGCCCAGCCUCUUAGAGGGCUCACGACCUCCCGGAGCAUCACUGCAGAGCUGGCCUGUAGCACGCGGGCCUUCAGAGGACGUUCCAGAUCCCAGCUUCACCGCACUUGCUGAAUGUUCAAGAAGAAAUUCAGAUCCAACUUCAAGUGCUCUCCACUCAGUGAAGCUGUGGGAAUCCGCUCGUACUGUCGGAAGCUGGGCAGGAGGGCGCUAGGACGUGGAGAGUCCAGGGAGCGCGGGGCUAGGGUACAGGAGGGGAAAGGAGAGAGUGGACCCUGCCGCAGGGAAGUCGGUGAAUUUUCUCUGGACUGACGGGAUGCCAGGUGGCCCUGCACCAAGCUGUGCGGCAGGAGGAGGAGGAACUUCUCGAUGAGAGGGCUCCAAGUUAAGGCUGGCCAGAUGCAGUGGCGCAGGCCUGGAAUCCUAGCCCUCAGCCAACGAAGCAGUGGCAUCGGUGCAAGUUCAAGGCCAGCCUGGAACUACACAGUGAGACCCUGUCUCAAAAAAAAUAAAUAAAAAGGAGCUAAGGCUGGAAAGACGAGCAGGGUUGACGAGGAGGGCAAGGAAGGGCUAACCGUCCAGCUCUUUCUCUUCAGUCCCUGGCUGAGCUCAGACCCGCCACGACCCACACAGGAGCAAAUCAAGGAGAUGAAGGAGGAGGAGCUCUCGGGAGCCCCACGGACCCCGCUGAAGCAGAGCGAAUUAGUGAACUUUAUAAAGGAGCCUAUCACCGGUCUCCAGUGGCCAUAGAAGUAUUCAGUAAGCCCCAGGCCAAAAGCAUCAAAACAGUGAGAAAGCAUUUCCACAAGGAGAUCAGCCACCUGAGAGAGUUUGAUUCUCCCAACAUCCUGCACAUACUCAGGAUUUGCAUUGUUGAAAGAGGUGUGGCGGUCCAGCCGUCGCAACACGAACGUGCCUG